GAGACACCGGACACGUGGAAAGGGCUCCUACGUAUUAAUAUCAAAAAUUUAUAUCCAUUAUGUCAGACAGUCCAAAAGAAGGCUUAGCGCAGACCGGUGAAGAGUUGAAUGCAACACCUACAGAAAAUCCGUGUGCUGAACUCAAGAUAGCCAUGGAAAAAUGUGUGACAGAGAAAGGUCAAGAAAGCUGCCAGGAAUUAAUUCAAGCCUACAAAGAAUGUAUGAAAUCACUAGGAUUGCAAAUCGAAUGAAUUUACAGAUACCAUGAUUGCUGAGAAGGUGUGUGUUUUGAGUCCUCUUCUCCAUUAUUCUCUCCUCUCCAAAUCCGACCAUUCCACUGGGAUGAACAGAUGGGGGAGUCCUACUUUCCGUGACAAGCUGUUAAUUGUUUCAGAUGCAGAUCACCUGCAAGAACCUACCUUAUGCAAUAUCUCUAUCCGCUCCAGCCCUGGGGGGAAUCUGCAAACUCUUUGGAGGACACCAAACAACUAGGAACAAAACUUUCUACAUUUUACCAUUUUAUUUCAGCUUCACCAAUUAUUUCCAUGUGUGUUUGGAAGAAAAGUUGGAUGUGUAAUCCUGUAAAAAGUUCUAGACAUUUAAAAUUUCACUAAAGAUUUAUAAAAAUAAAAAUUAGAAAAUACAUAGAAUCUCGUACACUUGAAUAUCUUGAAUUGUAUUAUUUAUUUGUCAAAGAGCACUUAGUAAAAAGACUCAGACAUUCUUUAAAACUUGGGGGGGAUGCACAACAUCAGAAGAAAUACAUUUCACUGGGACUGAAAGGAUUAAUAAUUCCAAGGCCUGCCUUUAUAACAAUCUCAAAUUUGAUAUGUAGCAUUCCGCAAUUUAAAAAUGGACAAGAGGUGGUAACGUUUGUUUGUGUUAUGUCAAAAUAUCCAUGCCUUUGUAAAAUUUUAGCAAUUCAAAUGACAAAUUAAAUGAAAUGUAAAAAGA
This is a long non-coding RNA of Pelobates fuscus (common spadefoot toad), 954 nucleotides long. RefSeq lists it as uncharacterized. NCBI's taxonomy places the organism in Eukaryota, Metazoa, Chordata, Amphibia, Anura, Pelobatidae. The record is from RefSeq and is a predicted model, not a curated record. The transcript has 3 exons.